UGACUGUUGAUCCAUUGCCACUACUUAAGGACCUACCAUAUUUGUCGUCCCUCUUUAUUAAUCGUAGUGCAUACAAUGGUGAAGUUUUGCAGUUCCCAAACGGGAUUUCAGAACCUAAAGCAAAUACUACUGGGAAGCCUUUUUAUUUUGGAAUCCAUCGUUAUUGAAGAUGGAGCAUUGCCUUCUCUCGAAAAGUUCAAGUUAGUCGGAAUUACCGAACUGAAGGAGGUGCCUUCUGGUCUCUACAAGUUAUCAAAGCUUGAGGUUUUCCAUGCUAUCAAUAUGUCAGAUGAAUUUCAAGAAAACUUUAAUCUCAACAGAGGACAAGGUCAAUGGAUAAUAGAAUGACGGUGGAAAUGAAAAAGGCCCUGGGAUUUAAGUUUCACGUACUUCUAAUUCUCCAUGUGGACUGUGACAACAACAACGUUGAUUCAUCAUUAAAACUGCCUUGGAAUUCAACAUUGCUCCUUCAAGUCCCCAAAUAAACAGAAUAUGCAUGUGAACCUAUCUUAGUUUCUUUAGCAAAGUGAUGUAAAACUUCUGAAAAAAGCGGAUUGAUUUACCACAUUUCGCUUUUUUAUUAGUUCCUUCUUAGAUGUAUUGCACUAUGUUACGAGAAUUUCUCUUUCAAGGAUUGUAAGACCUUGUUCAUUGUAAUCUUUUUAUCUGUUUCGGAAUAAGGAGAAAAACUAAUUCUGUAUACCUUUGCUUUUUA
Long non-coding RNA from Glycine soja, 715 nucleotides. RefSeq lists it as uncharacterized. The transcript has 2 exons. NCBI's taxonomy places the organism in Eukaryota, Viridiplantae, Streptophyta, Magnoliopsida, Fabales, Fabaceae. The record is from RefSeq and is a predicted model, not a curated record.